UAGACAGAACUACUGUGUUAGCAAUGAUGGAUGGUGGAAUGAUGUCUGUGUUUCUGUGUGUCCGCACCAGAGAAGGAAAUGGUCUGGCAGUAUCCCGUGCUGGUCGUGGGGACAAUUCUGGUCUUUCUUGGGCUCGUGCUCUGCGUCAGGAACCUGUUCGCAAACCCAGACAAGUGUCUCUGCUGGAGUGUAAACAAAGACCUGGAGCUGCCUGUCGAGGACCCCAAAUUCAACGAACAACGCAGUCAUCAAGACAGCAGCCCGAACACUUUGACAUUUAGCAUAACUGAGGAAACUCCCAUGAUGACUCUCAAUCAGAGUCCAGCCACGCCAGAACAUCCAGCCCACAGCAGUGCUCUAGUACCAGACGGUGAACACAAAGUGCUCUCAGACUCAAAGCGGCAGCCUUUUGAUUUCUGCAUGUUUAGCACACAAUUUAUCAUUGAUCAACCACGUGGCC
This 460-nucleotide long non-coding RNA is filed under the name Cottoperca gobio. RNAcentral describes it as "lncRNA (ENSCGOG00000024038.1)". Lineage: Eukaryota; Metazoa; Chordata; Actinopteri; Perciformes; Bovichtidae. The record is from RNAcentral.